GUUUGGAAAUGGUAAAGGUGAUCAUGUGUUGCGAGGCCCUCGAAAUGCCCAAGUCCGCACCUGGACACCCAAAAAAAAAUUUUGCGUGGAGGGUUUUUUAGGGGAGACCAUUUUUGCCUUCGUGGCGGUCUCCAAACCACGGGUGAAUUAAAUUAUUCCUAGCUUCCGAUGUGCCUUUAAAGAUGGGGAAGCUAGGAAGGGCUAGAUGUUAGUAAGGGGUUAAUAUUUAGGUUUUGGUAGGCACUUGUUGCGGGUAACACUUGUCAUUGUUAGCCAUGCCUUGUUAGUAAUGUUAGAAUUGUUCUUGAUAUGCAGGCUAAUUAAAAUGCCUGUGAUGUUGGUUGGUGGCUGGCAAAAGAUCUGUCUCGUGGUGUUUAGUAUUGCCUGGGAAUGGUGGCCAGGACUUAUAUUUCGGCAAAUACAUUACCGGUGGGAGAGUGUCGGGGCAGCCAAAAUUCUUGCAGUGAGCCCAUAUUACAUUCCAAGGAAAGUGAUGUGUGUUCACGAGAAAUAUGGCCGGCUCCGAUACUCCGCCACCAGAAAAACCGCUGAAAAGAAAAAAAAAGAAAUAAUUAAUAAAUAUAAAAUGGUUUAAUUUUAGAAAUAUAAAAAUAAAUUGGAACGACUCAAGCUUAUACUACCACCGCCAAAUACUAAUGCCAAAAACAAUGACAGUUGUCAGAUGGCUAUGAAUGGCAUUCACUACGAAGUGAUAACCCAAAUGGAAUUGGUAAUGGAACUUAAGCAAAGUAGAGACGGUGUUGCCGAUGUGGAGUUAAAUACUCUUAGAUAGCAGUCGCGAGAAAAAUUGUGACUCUUAAUUUUUUUUGGGCAAAUAUGAGUAUGAAAGUUUCACUAGACAGAGACCAUUUCUUUAAUUUAGAUAAGGAUAACUGGUGUCUAAUGAACAAAAUGUCCAUCAGUGGAAAGCUACAACGGCGCACUGAAAAGGUUAUAAAAGAGAGUAGCCAAUGAAGAGAGGUUAAUAGUUAGAAAAUUGGUGCUGAACGAGAAAAAACGUUCAUACUGAAAAUUGGAAGUUCAGUGAAAAAUAUUCAUGACUAUUAAGAUAUUAAAUUGAAAAAAGAACUACAAAUUUAAAUAAAAGGUUUGCUUGGAGGAUUGUGUGAUUUUUGUUGGUCUUUGCGGUGAACCCAGUGGAUAAAUUAAUUAAUAAGUGUGAGGCGAAAGCCAUUGAGGCCAGCCACGUUUACACACGACAGCGCAACAACGAAAGAAAAGCGCUAUCUCUUGGGUGAAGACCAAACAUCACAAACAUUAUCCCGGUAUUGCGAAGGUAGGAAAAUAUAAUUUCCCAACUUUUUAUAGCACCAGUAUAUCUGCCCCACCGCCAUCUACGGGACAGUGGCUAUACAAGCAUUCCACGUGAUCUCGGUUCAGCACCACUUUAUUCCUAUAAAGAAAAAAUUGGCUGUGUUAAUGAUCCAAGACACAAUAGGAUCCACACAUAUAUCGACAAACUGUCAUAAUUUUACAGUGUUUCCAAGGUGGAAGAUUUUUGCGAUUACCACGAUUGGUGCAGAAGAUAAGAAAAAGCCUGGAAACAAAAUUCUAAGUGGCGCAAGUAGUAAAAUUAAUGAAUAAGAAGUUGGCGUCACUAUUCUUAACUACAAUUUUCAUCUAAAAACAAUUUUUAUUGACCUAAUAUUAAAAUUUUUUUAUCACAUUUAAAAAUCAAAAAUUAUUCCUAUUAUUCCUGUCAAAAUAUUAUUCAUAUUUAGAUUUAGUUAUUUGUAUUGACUUAUUUUAUUAGUAUUAUUAUUUAUGUUUAUUUGUUUGUUACGUGUCUAAAUUUUCUUUUUUCAGCAUUCUCAAAGCUAAGGUUUCAAUAUAGUUUUUUUUUUGUUCCCCAUUAAAUUUCUUCGCAACAGAGCUCUUUUGUCGAGGUUAUUAGGGUGGGUUUGAAAGUGUUAAAAGUAUAUAUAUUAAAAACCACGUUCAUUGUGGAUUCGGAAAAAAAAUAGCUUUGCGAGUGUAAUUUCAGUCUUGUCUAUUAAUGUUCAUGGAAUUGGACAUGAAAUAAACCUUUUUUGAGGUAAAAGAUUCAUGGUCAAAAGACCGUUCGUUAUUUAAUUUGGCAAAUAGCCGUUAAAAUUUAAAAUUUCCUAACAACCCUUUAGCAAGAAUAAAACAACUAUUUAAAUUUUUAUGUGAUAAUUUUUUUUUAGAUAUUUAUUGUAUUUUUAUUGUUGUAAGUUUUUUUUUAUUAAGCAUAAACGACUUCUUGUUAGGAUUAGUAAUUCUUUUAAAUAAUAAUAAAAAAUGAUUUGAAUGUUUGUCAAGAUUAAAAAGAUGAUGUGUUAAGUUAGCUAAAGAGGAAUUAAGGACGAGGUAAG
This is a long non-coding RNA of Musca domestica (house fly), 2357 nucleotides long. RefSeq lists it as uncharacterized. The transcript has 3 exons. The record is from RefSeq and is a predicted model, not a curated record. NCBI's taxonomy places the organism in Eukaryota, Metazoa, Arthropoda, Insecta, Diptera, Muscidae.